GUUCCUGUAGUUGAAUUACGACAGUGGUUUUUCGAAUCACUAAUCUUGGUUAAAGUCCUGGCAGGAACU
Molecule: transfer RNA, 69 nt
Filed under: Grammoplites scaber (rough flathead)
Lineage: Eukaryota; Metazoa; Chordata; Actinopteri; Perciformes; Platycephalidae
Also listed under: 1 other name
Description: tRNA-Glu
Rfam family: tRNA
About the family: Transfer RNA (tRNA) molecules are approximately 80 nucleotides in length. Their secondary structure includes four short double-helical elements and three loops (D, anti-codon, and T loops).
Source: RNAcentral